ACGUUACCGACAGAAUAAGCACCGGCUAACUCUGUGCCAGCAGCCGCGGUCAUACAGAGGGUGCAAGCGUAAUCGGAAUUACUGGGCGUAAAGCGCACGUAGGUGGUUUGUUAAGUCGGAUGUGAAAUCCCCUGCGCUCCACCUGGGAACUGCAUUCCAAACUGGCUGAGCUAGAGUAUGGUAGAGGGUGGUGGAAUUUCCUGUGUAGCGGUGAAAUGCGUAGAUAUAGGAAGGAACACCGGUGGCGAAGGCGAGCCACCUGGACUAAUACUGACAGCUGCAGGUGCGAAAGCGUGGGGAGCAAACAGGAUUAGAUACCCUGGUAGUCCACGCCCGUAAACGAUGUCGAACUAGGCCGGUUGGUGACGCCUUGAGGCUCGUUGAGUGGCGCAGCUAACGCAUUAAGUUGUAUCU
RNAcentral lists this ribosomal RNA (414 nucleotides) under soil bacterium b14. RNAcentral's name for it is "bacterial SSU rRNA". It matches the Rfam family "Bacterial small subunit ribosomal RNA", at positions 472 to 871 of the family's 1533-position model. The record is from RNAcentral.